CCCUUAGAUGUCCGGGGCUGCACACGCGCUACACUGAAGGAAUCAGCGUGCUAAAACCAUUGUCGAAAGGCAUUGGUAAACCCAUUAAAAUCCUACGUGAUUGGGAUCGGGAAUUGCAAUUAUUUCCCUUGAACGAGGAAUUCCCAGUAAGUGUGGGUCAUAAGCUCGCGUUGAUUACGUCCCUGCCCUUUGUACACACCGCCCGUCGCUGCCCGGGACUGAGCCGUUUCGAGAAAAGCGGGGACUGCUGCUGUCGGGGCUUUCGGGCCUUGGCUUCGGUGGAAACCGCUUUAAUCGCAGUGGCUUGAACCGGGCAAAANUCGUANCA
RNAcentral lists this ribosomal RNA (328 nucleotides) under uncultured eukaryote. Its description in RNAcentral is "partial 18S ribosomal RNA". It matches the Rfam family "Eukaryotic small subunit ribosomal RNA", at positions 1470 to 1796 of the family's 1831-position model. The record is from RNAcentral.